Molecule: ribosomal RNA, 674 nt
Filed under: uncultured bacterium
Lineage: Bacteria
Description: bacterial SSU rRNA
Rfam family: Bacterial small subunit ribosomal RNA
Source: RNAcentral
AGAGUUUGAUCCUGGCUCAGAACGAACGCUGGCGGCAGGCCUAACACAUGCAAGUCGAGGGGGAAGCCACUUUCGGGUGGUGGAGACCGGCGCACGGGUGAGUAACGCGUGGGAAUUUACCCUGGGGUGGGGAAUAACCGCUGGAAACGGCGGCUAAUACCGCAUACGCCUUUCGAGGGAAAGCUUUAGUGCCCUGGGAUGAGCCCGCGUUAGAUUAGGUAGUUGGUGGGGUAAAGGCCUACCAAGCCAUCGAUCUAUAGCUGGUCUGAGAGGAUGAUCAGCCACACUGGGACUGAGACACGGCCCAGACUCCUACGGGAGGCAGCAGUGGGGAAUAUUGGACAAUGGGGGCAACCCUGAUCCAGCCAUGCCGCGUGCGUGAAGAAGGCCUUAGGGUUGUAAAGCGCUUUCACUGGUGAAGAUGAUGACGGUAGCCAGAGAAGAAGCCCCGGCUAACUCCGUGCCAGCAGCCGCGGUAAUACGGAGGGGGCAAGCGUUGUUCGGAAUUACUGGGCGUAAAGGGCGCGUAGGCGGGAAGUCAAGUUAGGGGUGAAAGGCCUGGGCUCAACCUAGGAACUGCCUCUAAAACUGGCUAUCUAGAGUCCGGGAGAGGAUGGCGGAAUUCCCAGUGUAGAGGUGAAAUUCGUAGAUAUUGGGAAGAACACCAGUGGCGA